Molecule: long non-coding RNA, 2372 nt
Organism: Rhincodon typus (whale shark)
Lineage: Eukaryota; Metazoa; Chordata; Chondrichthyes; Orectolobiformes; Rhincodontidae
Exons: 3
Source: RefSeq, a predicted model, not a curated record
UUCCGUAGAACGCACGGGAGCUGGCCGCGGCGUCGGGUGCCGUCUGUGAAGAGAUGAGCGAUGACUGCUUCAGAGCAUCUAGCUCUGAUGAGGAGUCACCUGGGCUCUCCCCUCUUUCAAACGACGGUGCCUGACCCGCUGUGAUUUCCAGCAUUUGUUAUUUUCAGCACAGAUUCCAGCACCUGCAGUAAUUUGCUUCGACACAGGGUACCUGCUGAUUCGCUAGCGGUGCCGGAUCACUUCACCCAAUAAAAGUAAAAUAACACCACACGUGGACUCAGAAUUUCUCCAGCUGUCUUCAUCUGUACCUGUCUUGAGGAUACUUCUCCAACAUGUUUCCUUCCUUGCCAAUUGUACGAAUGAUUGUAUCGUUGAGUGGUGUCCCAGUUAUGCUAACAUGUUAGCUACAGAUCUGAGGCCAGAGUCUGCCACGUUCCAUUCUGGAAUACAGAAGGUCUCCAGAGCAACAGGGUGCUUUUCCCUUUUCUUAAACAUUUUCCUCGUGUCCCAUCCUUGUUGCCAAAAUGUGUUGGAUCACAGACUGUAUCUAAGCGGUUCUUUUCAGAUUCAGUUAAACGUAGUAAAGAGAAGACUCGACAACAGCAAUUUGCUUAAAUAUGAAUGUUUAAUAAGUACUAAUGAAAGACGAAAAAGAAAGACACAUUUAUUAAGUAAAUAAAAAGAAUGAAAAUAAGCAGAAAGAGAAGAAUAAGCCUCGGCCUUCUGGCCGUUGGGGGGACCCCUUGAUCAACAGCUGGUCUGGAGGCUGAGCUUGUUCCUGGCACCGUUCACGAUUCCAGUCUGAGGCGAAGUCCAGUGACUUGGAAUGAAACUCUCUCUGUUAUACAGUGUAACAAGCAGCAAGGCACAGAAAAACAACUACAGAAAAACAUGUUGGAAUGGUCACAGGACUCAUUUGAGGUCACGCAGCUAUCGAAUAUCAUCAUCAAUUUUAGUCCUUCAUGCCAUUUUAUACAGUGACCUAAGUGAAUUCUUUCUUACACAGAGCAAGAGAAUGGUCUGUCUCCAGUGUGAACUCAUUGAUGUGUUAGCAGGUUGGAUGCCUGAGUGAAUCCCUUCUUACACACAGAGCAGGUGAACAGUUUCCCCCCUGUGCGAACUUGCUGGUGUAUCAGCAGGUGACUUGACUGAGUGAAUGCUUUCCCACAAUCAGAGCAGGCGAAUGGUCUCUCUCCAGUGUGGACACACUCGGGUGUUAGCAAGUUCAAUGACAGAGUGGGUGAAUGGUUUCUCCCCAAUAUGAACUCACUGGUGUAUCAGCAAGUGCAUUGACUGAGUGAAUCUCUUUCCACACUCAAAAAAGGUGAACGGCUUUUGCCCCACUGUGACUGCAUUGAUGAAUUUCCAGCUGGGAUGGGUAAAUAAAUCCUGUCCUGGAAUUCCAACUGUCUCUCCCCAGGGUGAUUGCACUGGUGUUUUGACAUUUUCGAUGAAUCUUGGCAGACUCUUUCACACAGAGACAUAUGUGUUUCUCUGCAGUAUGAAACAUGCUUUUACCUUUCAUAUUCAAAAUCCUGUGAUAAAUGGUAAACAGAGUGACUGUCAAAUCUGGACGUGGUUCUGUUUGAAUUCUCUAAUUGCAAAUCAACCUGCAAAAUAAAAAAAGAAAGCAUUGAGAGGGAAAUCAGAAGAACACACACAGGUUGUGAGAAAUUGCCUUACGUGAUGAUUCAGCAGCAUCAGCACAGCAGUGAGAGUGCACCAUGUGUGGAAUGGCAGCAACCUCCCUGCGGUCAGUGAUGGCAGUGCGAUUUGAGACAGCAUCCUCACAGGCUCCCCUCGGCGAUCAACAUGGUAUCAGCGGUCAGAUCGGGCCGUAGUGGCAGCGGUGGUCGCAGUUCAAUUUCCUCCCGGGCUCCUGUUGGCAUUCAAAGGCAGCGGCAGCAUGACAUUGACUGCGGGCCUUUUGCGCGAUGAUGACAGCCACCUCGGCAGUUCCAGUGAUUGGAUGUGGCAGCAUCAGUGGCAGCAAUGACACAGCUUCUUCCAGCGUUUCGGGGGCUGAGGCAGCAGCAGCAAGGCUUCUCCUGGUGAUUGGAGGCGGUGGUGGCAUCGUCAACAGCAACAAGAACACAGCACCUCCUGGCGAUCGAUGCGAGACUCACAGUCUGAUCUCAGCUCCAGGCUGGGGCUACACCUGGGUCCCUGCAUUGGCGGCAUGUAGAUAAGACUUUAAGAUCUGGAUGUUGUUUUACCUUUUGGCUCUUCUUAAAAUUGUUUUUUUGUUUUUUUAUUAAAUUCUGGUUUUGUAAUCAAGAUGGUGGGGAAGAAUGGCGACUCUGUACAUUUUCCACAUACACAUGUAUUCCUAUACUGAGUACAUGUGACAAUAAAACCUAAUUCUAAUUCUA